This 11223-nucleotide long non-coding RNA is filed under the name Marmota monax (woodchuck). The record is from RNAcentral. Lineage: Eukaryota; Metazoa; Chordata; Mammalia; Rodentia; Sciuridae.
AGGGUUGGGUGGGUAAGAAGUCCCUGUCACACUGUUUUGAGCAUUGCUGCUGUACUUCCUGUUGUCAUUGGUCUGUGUGGCUUGCCUUGUGCUUUCAUGCGAUUGCUCACAUGAUCUUCUAACCCAAAAAAAGGGGCCCUUUAUUUGGUUGCUUAUAAUGAACAGUAUUUUGUUGACUUUUGCUCCUUUAUAUGUCUAUCUUUCUACCCUGUAUUACUCUGUUUCUCAGACCUUUCAUUGUAGUGCUGGAAAUUUGAAUUGUUUUCUUCUAAAGAUGCUUCUGUAGAGAAAAAUGAAACUUUUGGUGGGGGUGGGUGGAUAGGAGUAGUUUGGUUGAUUUCUAAAAUGUCUCUAUUUUAAAAGGUGACAGUAACUCACAUCAUGAUUAGAUGACAUAGAAUCAUUAGUACUGAAAGAAGACAUCCAUUUUGACCCUCCAGGGAGAUAAUUUUGCUACUACCAAUUCUUCAUUAACAGCUGUGGUUUUAGGGAAGUACUUUUUAUACCCAUCAUUCAAUUUUUUGACCUUUGUCAGAAAAGUAAAGUCAGUGAAAGUUAUGGUGGGGAUUGUGUGCUUUGAGGAAGAAGGUUUAGAAGUGACAAGCUUGGGGAUUUUUAGGGGAAGUAUCCAUUUGAGAUACAUGUCUUGGUGACUUGAUAUGGAGAUGGAUUAUAUCGUGCAGUCUGUGAAAGGUAUGGUCAGGAUUUUUGUUGGAAGCAGAAAACAACUACCAGAUAGUUGCACAUCUUUUACUAUUGUCUGUAGCUCCUGUGGAACAUCUACUCUACCAGGAAGCCAAGCAAACAGUACUGCAGUGCCUUCUAGGGGCCUACUGAGGCUCAGCUGAAUGUUUAGAAACAUUCAGACUCAUAAGCUGCCACCCUUGGCAUCAGUGUCACGUAGAAGGCUAUAGAGUGGGAAGUACAGCUUGGCAGCAGGGCAGACCAGCUGUUGUCGUUCUAUGGGAGUCCCUGCAGCUGUCCAUGUAGCAUAGCUCAUGUUCAAGGAGACAGAUCAGGUAUUAAUGUGGAGGCUGCCCUAGCUUAGAAGCUUCUUGUCCCAUGGGAGCAAUUAUCUCUUAGAACAACAUAGAUGUCUUAGACAUAGCCUCCUGGGUCUCCAAGCUUGUUCUAAGAGUCACCAGUUGGGGAAACCCAAAGCUGUGGCUUCUUCUCAGGCAUUUCUAGUCUCCCAGCCCAGAUGCAAUUUACCACGUAGGGGUCAUUCUCCUAUAUGUAAUGUUGCCUGGAAACAUAGUUGAUAGAUGACUCUAUUAUGUUGCCAGGCGAACAGAGCUAGAAAAUUUAACCAAAGGUCAAAAUCUCAGCAAAAGGGGAAUAGAUUUUGUUAAUCCUUACCUAACAGUAUGUGAAGCAACUGCACAAAGAUAUUCCACCUAAUCUUUUUUUUUUUUUUUAAUAUAACAGGUCCCAGUGUUCCAAACAUCCAGUUUGUUAAUUAAUUAAUUAAUUUUUAUAUGGUGCUGAGGAUCCAACCCAGGGCCCCACAUGUGCUAGGUGAGCACUCUAUUGCUGAGUCACAACCCCAGUCCUCCAAGUAAUUCUUUUUUGCAGGGGGUGGGGGGGGGGACUGGGAAUUGAACCCAGGGCACUUGACUGAGCCACAUCUGAGCCACAUCUGAGUCAUACCUCAGCCCUAUUUUGCAUUUUAUUUAGAGACAGGGUCUCACUGAGUUGUUUAGGGCCUUGCUGAUGCUGAGGCUGACUUUGAAUUCGCAAUCCUCCUGCCUCAGCCUCCGGAGCUGCUGGGAUUAUAGGCAUGCACCACCACACCCAGCUCCUCCACUUAAUUCUUAUAAAAUAGAGCCAGAGGAGUUUCCUGUGAGAAGGCAGCCAACAUUUUUCUUCAUUUGAAUAAUAUUCAUUCUUUGUGCUUAGCUGUUUAUGAUUAAUAUACUGUUUAUAAAUUUUACUGAGGUAGGUGGAAGAGUUGGCUAAACAGUCAAAAUGGCCCCAUCAAAAUGUCAUAUAUCCCUUGGUGCUAUUUGUAGUUGGCAAGUACAGUAUGUCAUACUAUAGGGACAUUAUUUAAUGGAAAUUUCUGAGGGUUACAUCAGUCAUACUUCGAGGGGAAUCCAAGCCCUGCCAGGAACCAGCAAGCACUGGGCUCCAGGUCAUGGUCCCCCUCACUGCUGCAUCAUAUAUUGCUACUCUUGGCUCCUUCAAUUGCUCCUGGCACAUCAAUAAGUGAGGACAGCUGUUUAUUUAUUCAACAGUUAUCCACAAUUAUUUAUAGAGUCCUAACCGUGGGCCAUUCACUAUGGUGUCUUUAAUGAGCCUGCCCAAUCCCUGCCUGGAAGGAACUUGCAGCGUGCCAUCAGGAGCCCAGCAGGUAAGCAGUUAUAAUGUAGUGUGGGGCGUGACACCUAGAACUCCUAGCCCAGUCUCACAGCCUUGGAGACGGCUUUCUUAUCUAAGCUGCUGCUGUUGUGAUCAUCCCAUUCCAUAAACUUCUAUGUAUAAGCAAUUUAAACAGUUUCUGAAAUACCCUGCCUUUUCUAAACUUGGUGGCUUUGGACAUUAACAGUGUUUAAAUAACCUGUUUUAUUCAGAUGUAUGAAAAUUGUAUACACAUUUCAGAAUAUCUCUAGUCUUUAGAAAAUAUGCGCCAGAUGCUAUUGCUUUCUUAUUUCAAAAAAACUAUCUAUAAUGUGUGUAUAUAUAUAUUAUUUGUCAAUUAAAAAUAAAAUUAAAACAACAAAUAACUUUCCAUUAUAUUGAUCUAGUGUAAUAAAACAAAAACAUUAUUGCUGUGACACGUGGAGAGAUCCCGGUGGAUUGAGUCUUGGUUGGCUGUGAACUAGCUGAUACUGCAGAACUUAGGAUAGAUGUAGGACAGGACCAUUCAGUCACAGGGUCUGAGAGCUGGAAGGGACCCUAGAGAUGGUCUCCUGCAACUCCAUUUUACUCUGGAGAUGAAAUGACUAGUUUCUAGUCCCUACACACCUGGUGAAGAUCAGAAACCAGGACCUGACAGGCCAAAGCCAAUAGCAGGCAUGUCUGGACAGACAAGAGAGAACAUCCACAGACAGCACUUUUUCUUUGGUUACCUAUUAGACAAAAAUGCUGUUUGGGCCUGAUAUGAUCAAAUAUGCCUUGUGUGAUCAGGGCCUGCAUUCUUGUGAUGCUUAGACAGGGGGGGGGAGUCUUAAAUAGAACAUAGGAUAGUUAAUCUAAUCUUUUUGUUCUAUAAUACCCACGAGUAUCUACAACAACAUAACCAGAAUUGAACAUACAAAUGAUGCAAAUGGAAAUUUCCAUUGUCCGGUUAUUUUUUAACAUAUAUCAUUUGAUUUUUUUUUAGAGAGAGAGAGAAUUUUUUAAUACUUAUUUUUUAGUUUUUGGCGGACACAACAUCUUUGUAUGUGGUGCUGAGGAUUGAACCCGGGCCGCACACAUGCCAGGCAAACGCGCUACCUCUUGAGCCACAUCCCCAGUCCUAUCAUUUGAUUUUAAUGUAUUUGCUUUAUUUGUAAAAACUUCCAAAAGUAAAAACUAUCCAGCAUUUUCUUGAAAUUACUUUUCCCAACAUCUCUAUAUUUUAUUUUAUUCUAGUACUGAAGAUUGAACCAGGGGUGCUUUACCAACGAACUACAUUUCCAGUCUUUUUUGCUUUAAAAAAAAAAAAAUGGGAAGCACUGUGAUUGUGGCUCAGUGGUAGAGUGCUCGCCGACUAGCAAAUGUGAGGCCCUGGGUUCCAUUCUCAGCACCACAUAAAAAUAAAUAAAUAAAAUAAAGGUAUUGUGUCCAACUACAACUAAAAAAUAAAUAUUAAAAAAAAAGAUUUUUGGUAUACCAGGGAUUGAACUCAAGGAUACUCAACCACUGAGCCACAUCCCCAGCCUUAUUUUGUAUUUUAUUUAGAAACAGGGUCUCACUGAGUUGCUUAGUGCCUCACAUUUGCUGAGGCUGGCUUUGGACUAGCAAUCCUUUUGCCUCAAUCUCCUGAGAUGCUGCAAUUACAGGCUAUGUUUAUAACUGAUUUUUGAAACAUAAUUUGUGCAUGAUUUUGGGAAUUCGACAAGGAACAAUCUUAUUUGAAACAAAACCACAUAUCUUUAGUUCAGCAGCCCAUAUAUUAUUUUUGGUAUUGAGUGACAACAUAUUUUAAGUAUAUCUUGAUUCAAUGAAUUUUAAUAAAUCUGCAAAAACUCAUUUUCGUUAAAGAUCUGCAAUGAUAUACAACAGUUAUCAGCAAGACAGAUUAGCCACUUAACCAAUCUAAAAAUACCUAGAAGUAGUGCUGCUGGCUAUUAAUGAAAUAUUUACCAAGUUUGAGAUUAAAAUUAAUUUAGGGUCAUCAAAGAUUCGAAUCAUUUCUAAUUUGGGUAAAUCAACCUGGGGAUAAACAGGAAAUAGUCUUGAGCUAAAUUUUCAUCUUGAUUUGUAUAAGACCAGAUUGAGACAAGUUCAGAAUGGAACAGUGUCAGCCAGAUUCAAGAAAAAGUCUUUUGUUCCUUUAUUACUCAUGUUGCCCUCAAAAACAAACAAAUUUUCUGACCUUCCAGAAUUUGAAACUGACCUGAGUUAGAUAAUUGCAAAUUUGGGGAGGGUCAAAAUACAUAUACCAGUUUCUGCAGAGUGAAUAAAAAUAGGGAAUUAAGGUUUGAUCUUUUCACAUGAAUGAGUUGUUAAUGCUUUCUAAUUUAACUUUUUCUCAGGUCAAUUACUUUACAUGAAAUCUUAAAGAGGAAUUUUAUGGACAAGAUUUUAGUGAAGGGGGAAAAAAACUCACAAAAUAAAGAGAACUGUUAAAUAGAGCUCAAAUAUUACCUCCCACCUCUGUUCCACUGUGUUAGGACCAACCAACUCUCUUUGUACAAGUUUCUGGGCAGAAUAUCCUAACCAGCACAUUUUAGAUUCUGUGAAGGAAGAUGACCACUGCUUGAGGAAUAAUAGAUAAUGUGGGACACAACAUAAGAAAGGUAAGACAGAUAACACAAAAGUCACGGUAGGUGCAACCAUUCUAUUCUGAGUUCUGCAGCUGGUUUCCAACAACUCUUAAAAAGAAAACAGAGAUGGAGCUGAUCUGCCAAGUUUCCAAAUGGAUCAGUUCACCUUAAAAAGGCGCCUGUCAUAACUGUUAUUAAAACAAGAGGAGAUGGGCUGGGAGUGUGGCUCAGUGACAGAGCGCUUGCCUAGUAUUUGUGAGGCACUCGGUUUGAUCCUCAGCACCACAUAAAAACAGAAUAAAGGUAUUGUGUGUAUCUACAACUAAAAAAAAAAAAUUAAAAAAAGAGAGAGAAGCCAAGAUUAUUGGCAAUAAUACCAAUACUUUUUUUUAAUUUUUAAAUAUUUAUUUUUUAGUUUUUGGCGGACACAACAUCUUUGUUUGUAUGUGGUGCUGAGGAUCGAACCCAGCGCCCGGCGCAUGCCAGGCAAGUGCGCUACCACUUGAGCCACAUCCCCAGCCCCCCAAUACUUUUUUUAAGAAGUAGAAAAUAUUAUGCUUUUUAGAACUGAAUUGGUCUUCAUAUUCAAGUAGUUACGUACCAGGUCUGUUUAUAUAGUCCAGUGCUGACAAGGUUGUGGGUUGUUUUGCUGUAUGUAUGUGUGUAUAUAUGUAUGUAUGUAUAUAUACACACACACAUAUUAAAAUUGAGAAAGAAUAAAGUAAUAAAUUAGUGUAUAUAAUAUAAAUUUAAAUUAAACUCCAUUUUUUAAUAGAAACAUGCUUUUUUUAAAAAAAAAAACAUGCUUUUUUUUUUUUUUUUGGUACCUGGGACUGAACUCAGGAUCACUCACCACUGGGCCACAUCCUCAGUCCUUUUUUUGUAUUUUAUUUAGAAACAGGGUUUCACUGAGUUGUUCAGCACCUCGCUGUUGCUGAGGCUGGCUUUGAACUCAGGAUACUCCUGACUCAGCCUCCCAAGCCACGGGGAUUACAGGCAUGCACCACCACACCCGGCCUUUAAAACAUCCGUGUACUUGUUUUAAAAAUUAUUACUGCUUAAACAACAGGUUCAAAUAUUUCUCUUUUGAAGAUGGAAAGUUGGUUCAGUUUCAGCAAUGUAAUUGAUAUAAUUUUACAUUUUUUAAAACGUUGAGACUGAGUUUAUUUGAGAUUAUCUGGGCUUUCUGCCUGCUCUUGAGAAAAACAUAUAUAGCCUGUAUAUUUUUUUAAAAAAAGAUUCCCCAUAACAAUAUAAAACUGCUAACACUAAAUACACUUUCCAUCUGUUUAAAGACUCAUUAACUUCAUUUAGUAAUAGAAAAAAAAAGUUACUAACUAGAACAGGGAUUAGACUAAGUUAUACUUAAUACCUGUUUUUGGUUUUUUUUGUAAAUAAAGUUUUAUUGGAAAACAGGUACAUCAUCUGUGCCAGCUUUCACAUUGCAAUGACAAAGUUCUGUGACUGUGACAGAUAUCUAUUAUACACAAAGCCUGAAAUAUUUACUAAAAUGUUACUUAAAAAGAGUUUGCCCACCUGUGAUCCAGAAUGUUGGUAAGGACAGGGGAUCUGUUACUCCUCUAGGAACUCGCAGGUAAAGUAGUUUUCUAUUUUGGACCAAUCUGUGAGCUUCACUAGGAUUUAAGCAUGCCUGGUAUGUAGGUUUGAGGGUCAGUGGAGGGUACUGCUGAUCUGUAUGAAAUUUGGGGGGGGGAGAAGGAUGGUCACUUGAUUUUGUUCCAAGGAAGCGUACCUGAGCCUUCAAUGUGAGAGCUACAGGAAGAGAAUGAAAGAACAUGACCUAUAUAAUCAAACUCCACAGCUUUGAACACCUGAUGGUUCAAAAUGGUAGGAGGUUAGGGGCACUCUGCUGCACUUCCCAACACUACGUGUUCUGUGUGUGUUCUCAGUGCUCCUAUGGCUCACAGGCAGUGGCAGGGAGGGCGAGUCAGCUGGAUGAGCUCUAAUACUGGAGACACCUAGGCUCUCAGCUUUCCCAGACACCUCCAUCUCACCAGCAGACAUCCUGAGGGACUCCAGAGCACCUCUCUUGGUGGGGGCACUUUCAGCUGUCAGGAACAGACACUCAAAAGUAAGCUGAAGGCAACGGAUCUCCAAGUGUGGUCUCAGAAUCAACAGCAUCAGUGUCACUUGGGGGAUACCUAGGCAAACUAAAGUUUGAAAGCAAUUAAAAAAAAGAGAGAGAGAGAGAAAAGUUGGACACAAUACCUUUACUGUAUUUAUUUAUAUAUGGUGCUGAGGAUUGAACCCAGUGCCUCACACAUGCUAGGCAAGCACUCUACCUCUGAGCUAUAACCCCAGCCCCUUGAGAGGAGUUUUACGAGGAUUCAUUUUAAAUUAAAAUGCAUAACUAGGGUUGGGGUUGUGGCUCAGCAGUAGAGCUCUCGCCUAGUGCUCACCUAGCACAUGUGAGGCCCUGGGUUCCAUCCUCAGCACCACAUAAAAAUAAAUAAACAAAAUAAAGGUAUUGUGUCCAACCACAACUAAAAAAUAUUUUUUAAAAAAUGCAUAACUUGGGCUGGGGCUGGGGCUCAGAGGUAGUGCAUUGCCUACCAUGUGUGAGGCACUAGGUUCGAUUCUCAGCAUCCCAUAAAAAUACAUAAAGGCCUAUCAACAACUAAAAAAAAAAAUGCAUAACUUGAUGAAUUUCUCAGGAAAUCCCAGAUCAUCUGAAAUUAAAAAGGAAGGACUAAGGCUGCUCCUGGUGGGUCAUAUUCUUUAUCCAGUUUCCUUGUCUGCUUUUCAUGCGGCUCUUAGACUGGCUUGGUUCUGCCCAUUCACCAGCUCCAAAAGACUGGCAUGGUUCUGCCCAUUCACCAGUUCCAAAUGACUGCCCCAGCCCUGAUGUGACCACUGCCCAGUCCUUCAGUUAAAAUCUUCCAGAGGAGGGGCUGGGGCUGGGGCUCAGUGACAGAGUGCUUGCUUAGCAUGUGUGAGGCACUGGGUUCAAUCCUCAGCACCACAUAAAAAUAAACAAAUAAAAUAAAGGUAUGCUGUAAAUCUACAACUACAAAAAAUAAAAAAAUAAAUCUUCCAAAGGAAAACAGCUUAAUCUCUACCUAAAAAAAUAAGAGGUUCCCUCAGAUCACACAGCACACUUGGGUCGGGCAGCUGGGGGCUCUAAAUGGGGAUCAGGGCAUUCCUGGAAAUUGGAGCUGAGUAGAGAAGUUGGUGGAUAUGUCCCCUGAGCAGGAGCCUGGAGGAGACAAGAAUGUUGACCUCUAUGUUGCCUAGAUCAAGAAAAUUAUGGCAAGCAGCGUGUUUUGGGGGGCCACAGCAGAUAUUUAUUUUAGAGCUCAAAGACUGUUUUUUGUCUGUUUGGGUACCAGGGAUUGAAUUCAGGGCCAUUGCUUAGUGCCUAGCUAUAUUGCUGAGGCUGGCUUUGAACUCCUGAUUCUCCUACCUCUACCUCCUGAGCUGCUGGGAUGGAAUUCCAGGCAUGUGCCACUGGCUGGGCUUCAAAGACUGGGUUCUUUUUCCCUCUCGGCAUGACCCAAGCAUCAAUUGAGCAGUGCAGUGAAGGAGAAUUUUUAUUCUUGGCCAGGAAUAGGAGAAAUGGAAGGUAAACUCACAGAUCAAUGUCUCACUCCUUGAGGGUCAGAAGGUUAGAAAUACAAGGUAAAAAAAAUGAGCAGGGAGGGAUAGGAUAAUAAAGGGGAGGAAUAUUCAUGUCUUUUAUUUUAAUGAAGUUAGAGGUGGUCUGGAGGUCACCUGGCAGCAAUCUUAGACACACUAGUUCCAAUUUGUCCACCUAAAAAGGAACUUCUGGCCUUGAGGCAUCUUGUCCUCAAAGACAAGAAAGAUUAGGGCAGGGUAAAAUUUCAGUAAGGUCACCCAGACUGUACAAGACCAAGGCAGGGUAACAGGAUACUGCAAACAAUCCAAAGUAGUUUUAUUCACAAGAGCUAAAAAGUGAAACAACCCAAUGUCCAUCAACUGAUGGAUGGAUAAACCCAAUGUCAUGUAUGCAUACAGUGAAAUAUUAUUCAGUCAACAAAAGAAUGAAAUGCUGAUACAACAGUACAUCACAGAUGAACUAAGUUUCAUGUGAAAGAAACUGCUUUCAAAGGGCCAUAUAUUCUUUAUUUCCAUUUAUAUGAAAUAUCCAGAAUAGGCAAGUUCAUAGAAACAAGAAGCAGAGUGGUAGCCAGGCGCAGUGGGAGGUUAAGGCAGGAGGAUGGUGAGUUCAAAGCCAGCCUCAGCAACUUCGAGGCACUAAGCAGCUCAGUGAGACCCUGUCUCUAAAUAAAAUACAAAAUAGGGCUGGGGAUGUGGCUCAGUGGUUGUGUACCCCUGAGUUCAAUCCCCAGUACCCCCCCACACAAAAAAAGCAGAGUGGUGACUACUAGGAGCUAGGGGAGAAGAGACUGUGGAAUAGAUAAAAUGGAAGAAAUAUAAAAAAACGAUAGGUAGAAAGAAGACAAAAGAAAAGGAGACUGUAACUUGAAAAUGAAAAUCUUGUGAAAGUUUAUCAUAUCUUCCCUCCACAAGUCAAUUCCCUUUCCCAGGCCUGUCUACCACAAAUUUCUGGGAAGUCUAUAAAUCUUCAUUCAUAAUCUUAAAGUCACUAAAACUUCAUUUGCUUAUGAAAAUUUGUUCUAUGCACUGUUGUUAAUUAACCCCCUAAUUCAUGUGUUUUUCGGGUAGAUUAAGCAAAGGAGGUAUGAAACAUGUUAUAUAAAGCACUUUCCUAAUUUUACCUAUUGCUCAUAUUACCGAGAAGUCAACCUAAGAAGCCUGAGAACUGUCAAACCACAAACCAUCUUGUCUUGGCCAGACUGACGUCAUCCUCACAUGCCCGCCCCUCACCAAAUUCCCCUUCAAAAAACAGCCUGAAAACUCCGAAAACAUAUCUCACUCUGGACGUGGCAUGCUCCUUACUUCUGGUGAAUGCACAUUCCUCAAUUUCCUAAAUAAAUCUGUACCUCAAUAUCUGACACGUGCUAAAAUUAUUUUCCUAUACCUCUGUCAAGGACCCCAUUCUCCUGAGCUGAGAUCCCCUCUAUAGAACCCCCUAGAGAGGUGACCUCCUGACCCCCUCCUGCGACAGAAUGACUGCUAGUGGGUAACAGUUUCCCUUUGAGUGUUGAAAAGUUCUGGAACUAGAUAGUGUUGGUGGUUGCUCAAGACUAUGAAUGUAUUUAAUGCCAAUGAAUACUUCAAAAUAAUAAAAUUUUAGGGAAUACAUAUUUCACCACACUAAGGGGGGAAAAGUCUUGCGGCUCACAGAGGCACACACGAAUGUAAUCCCAACUACUCGGGAAUCUGAGGCAGAAGGAUGGCAAAUUGUAACCAGCCUGGGCGAUUGAACAAGAGCCUGUCUCAAAAUAAAAAAUAAAAAGGGCUGGCAAGGUAGCUCAGUGGCAAAACGCCCCUGGGUUCUCCAGUACCACGGGAGCGCGGUGAUCCAGCUCUUGGUGCCGGGAUUCCAGCAGGACCCCAGGAGGGUGGCAGAUAUAUAUCAGUAGCUGUCGUGACGCGCCGCUCACAGGCGUCACCGGCUCGAGAGCCGCGGGAGGCGAAGAAGAUAGCGGGCGCCAUUUGCAGCUGAGGGCGCAGCGUGGCGAUGGCGCGCUGGCUCCGAGGGCUGGGGACGGUCACAAAGGAGGCGCGGGCGGCGGCGGGCACAGGUUCCGGGAGGCCCUGCCCACGCCCGCGAGGAGCUGUGGAACCACGGCCCAGCCUGGCCCUGGGAAAGGCGGGAAGGCACGUGGAGCCUCAGGGCUGCAGCGGCGCCAGCUUCGGGGAACCGUGCACGGCGCGGGGCGUGUCUGGAGCCGUCCGGCGCCGCGCACUCGGAGGGUCGGCGGCAGCCGGGCUCGGGCUGCAAUCGGGGCGCGGGGCGUCAGCUAGUUUGUAGCAUCUCCUUCCGUUGGUCGCGUUGGUCUCGAGUAGAUCGGGUUCUGCACCUCAGACCGCACUAUCGCAGAAAUGAUGCUGCGGGCUUCGCAACGCACCGAGUCAGGUGGCGCGCAAUUUCAGUCUGUCAUUUCAACUCAUUGCUGAUGGCUCGCUUUUAUGCCUGAUGAAGAUGACAUCUGAGCCGGGAGCGGUGGCGCACGCCUGGAAUCCUAGCAACUUCGGAAGCUGAGGCAGGAGGAUCGCAAGUUCAAAUCCAGCCUCAGCCAUUUAGCAAGGCCCUAAGCAACUUAGAGACACCCUAAUAAAAAUAAAAAGGGCUGAGAAUGUGACUCAAUGGUCAAGCGCCCCCUGGUUCAAUCCCUGGUAUAAAAAAAAAAAAAAAAAGUCUGCCAGCCUUCUAGACAAAAUAACACCUUUCCCCUUGGCA